GAUGAAGAACGUAGUGAAAUGCGAUAAGUAAUGUGAAUUGCAGAAUUCAGUGAACCAUCGAAUCUUUGAACGCACAUUGCGCCCGGCAGUAAUCUGCCGGGCAUGCCUGUCCGAGCGUCAUUUCUACCCUCGAGCGAGUCCAGCAUCUAGGUGCUGGGCCUCGCCCGGCGUUGGAGCACUACGGGAAGCCCUGUGCUGUCCCCCGUAGGCCCCGAAAUGAAGUGGCGGUCCUGCCGCGGCGCCCCCUGCGUAGUAUAACAGCUCGCUUCGGGACCCGGUGGGGGCCUGCCGUCAAACCUAUACUCUCUAAGUUUGACCUCGGAUCAGGUAGGGUUACCCGCUGAACUUAAGCAUAUCAAUAAGCGGAGGA
Molecule: unclassified non-coding RNA, 370 nt
Filed under: soil metagenome
Description: partial contains 5.8S ribosomal RNA, internal transcribed spacer 2, and large subunit ribosomal RNA
Rfam family: 5.8S ribosomal RNA (bases 1-120)
Source: RNAcentral